Mercurialis annua (annual mercury) is the source of this 478-nucleotide long non-coding RNA. RefSeq lists it as uncharacterized. The record is from RefSeq and is a predicted model, not a curated record. The transcript is spliced from 3 exons. NCBI's taxonomy places the organism in Eukaryota, Viridiplantae, Streptophyta, Magnoliopsida, Malpighiales, Euphorbiaceae.
AACCCUCACCAUCUUCAUCAUCUCAAUUCCAUAUGGGAACCAAACUUUAAUUCACCAUAACUUAUCCGUUUUAGCUCGGUUUUGGUCGAUUCUUGCGGCAACGGAAAGAGGAGAACCAUACCUACUGAUUGAGCCCAAUAAAUCAAGACAAACCGAGAGGCGACGGGAUCGACGGUUUUGGCCUAGGAGUAUUCGGCCAAGACUAAUGCGUGUAAAUGAUUUGGAUUGGAAAGCAAGGAGUACCUAGACUUGGAGUGACUAGAAGUCCAUUGUUUUGCCGGGAGUCUGUCUUGCCAUAUAUAGUCCGACUUCCGUGACCGCUGCAGUAGUACAUUGUGUGACCAGUCAUGACCUAGGAUAAUAUUAUAGUGUUGGAAAAUGUUUAUAAUUGCUGUUGUAUAUAAAAUGAAUAUUAUAACAAUGUUAGAUAUACAUAGUCAGUGUUUAUAAAAUGGCUAGUAAUGUUUCCAUAAUUAAA